AUUGAACGCUGGCGGCAGGCCUAACACAUGCAAGUCGAGCGGAUGAAGGGAGCUUGCUCCUGGAUUCAGCGGCGGACGGGUGAGUAAUGCCUAGGAAUCUGCCUGGUCGUGGGGGAUAACGUCCGGAAACGGGCGCUAAUACCGCAUACGUCCUGAGGGAGAAAGUGGGGGAUCUUCGGACCUCACGCUAUCAGAUGAGCCUAGGUCGGAUUAGCUAGUUGGUGGGGUAAAGGCCUACCAAGGCGACGAUCCGUAACUGGUCUGAGAGGAUGAUCAGUCACACUGGAACUGAGACACGGCCCAGACUCCUACGGGAGGCAGCAGUGGGGAAUAUUGGACAAUGGGCGAAAGCCUGAUCCAGCCAUGCCGCGUGUGUGAAGAAGGUCUUCGGAUUGUAAAGCACUUUAAGUUGGGAGGAAGGGCAGUAAGUUAAUACCUUGCUGUUUUGACGUUACCAACAGAAUAAGCACCGGCUAACUUCGUG
This 484-nucleotide ribosomal RNA is filed under the name uncultured bacterium. Its description in RNAcentral is "partial 16S ribosomal RNA". It matches the Rfam family "Bacterial small subunit ribosomal RNA", at positions 30 to 507 of the family's 1533-position model. The record is from RNAcentral.